AGGAAAGGGUGGCUCAAGCCUCAAAAGAAAGGGUUUAGGUAGGUCAAAAGCUUGACAUCUAUUGAAUGUACGCCUUUAUUGGAUUGGGCAUAUUUCUAAGCUGCAUUUAGGAGUUUUAUCAAGCUGUGGCAGGGGCAAGGGUCAAGAGCAAUGGAGCCUUGAGAGGGCAUAUUUUGAUAGAAGAUAUGGGCCAGAUGCGGCACACGAUAUAUCGACGACACCUUAGUAGGGGCCAGAAGAAGAAAUAGAAUCAAAACUUUUCUAAGUAGCUACACCCACGUCUGGCCGUUGAGAUAGAUUUAGGGGGAAUCUAUCCAAGUAUGGAAGCUGACAUGUCUGCAUUCGCCUAUCCUUCUCAUAAAGAUAAAAGAGAAAGAUUACCGCACUAAGCUUGACUUCCCGCGCGCUUUCCUAUCGUAAACUUUGAUUAAUCGUCUUUCGGCUUUUUACCCUUCAAAGCAUACAUGAGGAUAAAAACCUCUAAAGAAAGGACUAGUUAGACGGUGCCUAUUUUCUUUAUAUAAUAAAUUGAUUCUUCUAUAAGCUCUUGGUCUUAUCAAUUUAAACCCUAUGGGCUUGGCUCCUUCAGGCAACUCUAAUCAACCAAACCUUAUUCUUGCCCAUGGAGUUCAUAUCCUCCUUAAUUGCAUCAUACCACCUCGAGGAAUCCUUUCCACCUAUGGCUUGUGAAAACGUGACUGGGUCAUCUAAAAGUGUACCGUCUUCAUGCAGAUACAAAACGUAAUCAUAAGAAAUGGCAGGUCUCCUCUCUCUUUUUGAUCUCCUCAAUGCCACUUUACCUCCCACAGGUGGUGCCUGAUGUGGGGCAUCAACGGCUGGAAAAGGUGGCUCUUAGGGUGAACCCUGGUUCGUGUUGAAGUGUAGCUACGCCCCGUAAGGUCACUUUACCCGAAUACCUUACUUACAUUGAACUACCCUCGACUUGAUCCAUCCCAAUGAUGGUAGGUAGGCAACUCUUUUCCGAGAGCGCGGUUGAGAAAGAUUUUUAUUGAACCCCUGGGACUCUGUCCGCUUCCCUGAAGUAAGUCUUACCGCAGACGUGACAUUUCACUAUAAAAAUGAAAGAGUUAAGUUAAAUCGAUAGGUUGAGGAAUCGAACCUUAAGGCUUCAACACAUAGACCAUUUGCACCAGUAGCGAACUCAGUACAGGUGGAGUUGCGUGGCCUAUUCAUCUUCAUCCUAGAUUCGCUCGUUAACUGGAUGAAUAAAAGGAAUUAAGGGUAAGAAGGAAAGGGUAGCUUGGAUUUCAGAUGUUGACGUAAAAAAAAAGUCCUUUGCUUAAGCCGCAGGGCUCAAAUACCUGAUAUCAAGAUCAAAGGCAUACCUGACUCCCGAAUGGAAGGAAAAAGAAUGCCCUCUCCAACUACAAAUGGAUACCAGACCGCCCCCGGUGAAAGCCCUCUUUUCCAUACGGCCCUAAAAGUCAAGUUUUCCAUGGUUCUUUUUGGCUCUUUAUGAAAGAUUGUUGGUAAGCCUACCCUCCCAGGCGCACCUGAUUAGCCACUUACUCUAGUAUGAAUUGCUUGCUUGUCGGAUCGAACACCUUAAAAUGGGAACCUGCAAAGCCGUUCCAUUACUCAUUGAUCGUUAACCAUAAGAUUGGCUGACUAACUGCCGGAUUUUACAUUACACCUUCACAAGGGUGUGAUCAACUCAAGCGGGUCUUUCGGGCCGGGAUCCUAACCAGUACCUACCAUGCCCCCGAGAUUCCUCAGUACAUAUGGGUUGGUGCUUAGUCUGUCAAUUCUAUCUCAACAAAGGAAAAAUCGUUCGUUCCGCUUCUUUUUUCAAAAAAAAGAGCUCCUCCGACAAGCUCAUUCGCUCACAGACAAUAGUAGAUAAAUGAAUCGAUCCUUCGUGCUUUCACUUAGCCCUCGGCUGUGAACCAUUGUCACUCGUAUGGGUGCAUGUACCUCCGCGCCUAGAAGAGAGCUUUCACUGGGGAUUAAAAAAAAGGGGGGAUUGGCAUGUAUUCCCCACGGGGAAAUUCCCAUUGAGAGUUUACAUACGUAUACCUCUAUUCUUAUACCCGGCAUUCGCUGCCAUAAGACAGCCCUGGUAUUCCCACAUUUCUUUUUUUCUAAGACAAUGGAUUUUCUGCUAACAGCGGAUUCUAUUCCGAGAAAACCAUCGAGAUAACUACAAAAGAACCUUCCGCCUUGCUUUCGAGCUUAGCUUUGCGUCAUGGGUUCCAAAUUGGCUGAGCUAACCGUACCAGGCGAAGAACACAUGCUGGGAACCUGGUGAAAGGAGCUCUUCCAGGUCUCUAUAACCUGAACAUUCUUCACUUUAUUGGCAAGACCAAUCCGCAACCGUAGAACCGCAACACGGCUUGGUAGGGUAAAUGGCGACCUUUAGACUGUCUUCCUCUCAAGGCAACGAACGAGCGGGGGCUCCGAGACCUCGUUUUUUGUUUUCCUCAUUAAGGAAUGCAAGUACUCAAUUUUUAGAGUAAAGAAGAGGGACUCCCUUUCGUCUACUUUAUUAAAUGUCGAAAGACACUUCAUUCUGCUCCUGCGAGGUAUAGCGGAAUUACGCGGGAAGGAGUAUCAGAAUAUAGAGAUAGACUAGAAGCAGACGAGGAGAAGGUUUACUUUGGAGUUCCUUCCCUCUCUCAAUCUGUGACCGUCCCCUUUCGGAAGGGAUUUUUUGUCAUACUAUAACGUUUACUUUCUAUUGGAUUUGUCCUUAAGAUUCUACUAGCGCUACAAACUUCAUUUAUAUGACGUUAAGUGAGAGAUCUGCAAUUCAUCUUGUGUUUGUCUCACUAAAUCAACUUCUGCAGUCUCAACUCUCUAUUGAAUUCCCGCAGAUCUCAGUUAUCUCAAAAUGGCUCAGCCUCUUGUGAAGAAAGAUGAUGAUCGCGAUGAUGAACUGGAAUACUCUCGGCAUUGAGAAGGUUGCUGCAAAUAAGAUAGCGAGCUACAAGGCGAAAAGAGGUCUCAUGACCAGGGAACUGAAAAGAAGUAAAAGCCGGAGGAAUGAAUUUGAAAGCUUUCUAGGAAGAGAAAGGAAUGCAUUUUCUGACAUAACUAUACGAAAUUUCUUUGAUCGAUGCCUUUGACUCAGAUCCCAAUCCCUGGAGCGAAAGAAUCUGGUAAUAUAUCCUCUGGUUUAGCUCCACCUCUGAGAAAUCUUUAGUCCUCCGUCUCUACUGCCCUUUCACUCCAGUUUACCGUAGCAACUACAGCAAGCUGCCUAGCUCACUGGCUCGUAUGACUAGCUCGCUUACUUUAACUCAUCAGCCUAGCUCUAACAAGCCAACACUCCGUUCCUAGUUUCGCUACCCUGCUUUACCUGGUGAGAUAGCUUUCUUAAGGAUUGGCUGUCCUACUUACCAUGCUUUCCAUGCCAUGUGCUUCCUCCAAGACUUGAAAAGGGGCUGCCCUAUAUUAUAUAGUAAGUUUCUUUUGGUUAGAAAUGGAAUAAGAGAAGAAAAAUCGUAGCGUAGUCCUCCGGGGGUAGGGUUAACACUCCAUAGAUCAGAUCGUGAACUCUUUCAGACCCUUAGUUUCACUUGGUUGGGGCAGAGUUUCAGCCUGCCUUCUACCGAAUAUAAAAAAACCUUACAGCUGCCUAAUCUGCUGACAUCCCCGCGAAGAGAGUCAUUAUUUGUGUCACAUCCUCGAAUUCGAGAGCCUGUUAUCUCUCAAAUUAUAGGAUAGGCAUUGAAGCGAUCGAGCGAGAGAAAGAAAGAAAACUAUUGCACACGCCCCUCAUUCGCCCAGAAGGUAAGGCAAAAGCAGCUUAAGCUUCCGAUCACCCGACCCGAGAAGCCCUCGAUGAACCGCCUAUAGUCUUAUAUAGACUUUUAUAUAUAAAUAAAGAUUUAUAAGUAUGACUAAUCUGACGAAGAAUCGUAGUUCCUGCACCUUGCGUGGCGUCUCCCAGUCCAAUAAUAGCCCAGAUGGCCAAUCACUCACGCGAUUCAAGCAAAUUAGGAUCC
This 3968-nucleotide long non-coding RNA is filed under the name Coffea arabica (coffee). RNAcentral describes it as "long non-coding RNA (CARA_LNC008325)". Lineage: Eukaryota; Viridiplantae; Streptophyta; Magnoliopsida; Gentianales; Rubiaceae. The record is from RNAcentral.